CACUUUAUUUAUAGAUGCAAUACAUUUUGAAAGCAGAUCAGUGUGCAGUAGUCUGUGAUUGUAGUAGAAUUCUAUAAAGCACAUGUUUCACAUCACUGCCCUAUUUAUAUUGCAGAUGACACUCCUUCAACAAGUGGCAAUGAAUUUCUCAGUAAGAAAACCCAAUUAUUUUGCUUUAGAUCAGUUGUAUAUAGAACUUUCUGCGGAUCAGUUUGAUUAACUUUCAACUUCAUCCAUUACAGGUGCAGCAGAGGCCUUUGGUAAGCCAAGAAACUACUACAGCCUCAAGUAAAGAAAAGGCAAUUUCCAUUGAAUGAUAAACGUUUGGACCAUGGCAAAUCAUUAUUGAGGUUAGUUAAAAAGUGAAGCUAUGUGUAUGACUAUCAGCAAUAUAUUAAUAAUUAACUGUCUAAAAAGGCAUAUUUUUUCAUAAACUUUGCUUUUUCUCCUUGAUGCUAGGUCAGAAUGGCUCCCAUGGAGUGGAAACCAAGAACUCCGAGAAGGUGUGGACGGUACCAGAAGUUAAUAAUGGACGAAGCUCCACCUCGAAUCAUCCUGCAAGGCCAUGAAACCUAUGAUGAUUUAAUUACCAUAGCCAAAGAACGCUUCUGGCCAGAGCGUACUGAGGGGAGUGAGUUCACUCUUUGUCAUUCUGACGGACCAGGUGGAGUAAGGAGGAUUUCCACAAAGAAUACAGAACUGUUUCUGAUAUUACACAUCUGUGGAAAAGAACACUAUACAUCGGGCGAAGACAACUGGAUGAACUUCCUGAAACCCUCAUAGGACAAAAUGUUGCAGAACAGUGUAUCUUCCACGUGUUCCAUAUGUGGAAGAGGCUUUAAUUACAUACAGCGAGGACAAUCUACUGGGAGAAGGGACAUUUGGCAAGGUAUAUAGAGGUUCUUUUCAUGGUACUCCAGCAGCUGUUAAAAGGAUCGUGUGUGGC
This 946-nucleotide long non-coding RNA is filed under the name Oreochromis niloticus (Nile tilapia). RNAcentral's name for it is "lncRNA (ENSONIG00000041899.1)". Lineage: Eukaryota; Metazoa; Chordata; Actinopteri; Cichliformes; Cichlidae. The record is from RNAcentral.